This 449-nucleotide ribosomal RNA is filed under the name uncultured bacterium. RNAcentral's name for it is "partial 16S ribosomal RNA". It matches the Rfam family "Bacterial small subunit ribosomal RNA", at positions 29 to 523 of the family's 1533-position model. The record is from RNAcentral.
AACGAACGCUGGCGGCAUGCCUAACACAUGCAAGUCGAACGAGACCUUCGGGUCUAGUGGCGCACGGGUGCGUAACGCGUGGGAAUCUGCCCUUCGGUUGGGAAUAACUGAGAGAAAUUUCAGCUAAUACCUUAUAAUGUCUUCGGACCAAAGAUUUAUCGCCGAGGGAUGAGCCCGCGUAGGAUUAGGUAGUUGGUGGGGUAAUGGCCUACCAAGCCGACGAUCCUUAGCUGGUCUGAGAGGAUGAUCAGCCACACUGGGACUGAGACACGGCCCAGACUCCUACGGGAGGCAGCAGUGGGGAAUAUUGGACAAUGGGCGAAAGCCUGAUCCAGCAAUGCCGCGUGAGUGAUGAAGGCCUUAGGGUUGUAAAGCUCUUUUACCCGGGAUGAUAAUGACAGUACCGGGAGAAUAAGCUCCGGCUAACUCCGUGCCAGCCGCCGCCGUAA